Long non-coding RNA from Odontomachus brunneus, 936 nucleotides. RefSeq lists it as uncharacterized. The transcript has 3 exons. NCBI's taxonomy places the organism in Eukaryota, Metazoa, Arthropoda, Insecta, Hymenoptera, Formicidae. The record is from RefSeq and is a predicted model, not a curated record.
CUCGGCGCGCACGGUUUCGGAGUGGGUGUUUCUCUGUCGCGAACAAAAUCGGCGAUUGAAAUCGAGGUCCACCCGGAGGUGCGAGAGGCGCGUGUUCGAGUGCACGCGCUGAACGAUGACGACGAUGACGACGAUGACGAUGACGACGACGACGAGGAGGACGACGACGACGACGACGACGACGACGACGACGACGACGACGACGAUGAUGACGACUGCGAUGACGAAGUGAGACGAUCGUGUCGGAGAGAUCGGUAAUCAGGGAACAGAGUGCGCGUAAUCGGUAACCGGUAAUCGUCGAGAUUCUGGUGUGGAAACCAAGUCGCGAAGGAUGCGCUGGAAAUCGAAGGAAAGCCACGACUGAAUACUGCGAUCGGUAGUACGCGAGCGAGAGAUCGUUUCAUUGAACGCCGAAACUAAGCUGAACCGGUCAAGAUGCGAAGGGAGAUCGUCGUCAUCGUCGGUGCGGAAGUCCCGUGAAACUUUGCGAUUCCUCGCGCUCCAGUUGCGGUUGUCUUGUUCGGCGCGACGUCAUGAUUCGUCGGGGUGUCCCGAGUCGAUCGUGCUAGCUAUGAGACGCUGUAUGUUUCAAUGACGUAAAACUGAGUCCGGGAUCGUGUGAGUGUGUUUGAGCAUCGAGUGUACCGUGAACUUUUCCCGAACGGUGCUUCAAAACUAUCCGGAGAUUUUUCGCGUCUGCAAGCACGAUGUGAACUCACGAACUCACGAAAUUCAUGCUGACCUUCAUUCACGGAUCCGUCGCGAUGACAUGAGAGACUUCGAGCACCCCUGUCAGCCUAAGUGGAGUUAGGCUGAGAUAAUCUUCAAUGAUCUUCGUGAUGUGGCAGCUACGUAUUAUAUUAUCGAUGAAUAUAAAACGAUAGGAAAUUGUGGCGAUUCACCAGAGAAUGGCAAUUGUGUAUUUCUUUUCAUCAG